RNAcentral lists this ribosomal RNA (499 nucleotides) under uncultured bacterium. Its description in RNAcentral is "bacterial SSU rRNA". It matches the Rfam family "Bacterial small subunit ribosomal RNA", at positions 29 to 507 of the family's 1533-position model. The record is from RNAcentral.
ACGAACGCUGGCGGCGUGCCUAAUACAUGCAAGUCGAGCGGAAUGAUGAAGAAGCUUGCUUCUUCUGAUUUUAGCGGCGGACGGGUGAGUAACACGUGGGCAACCUACCUUGUAGAUUGGGAUAACUCCGGGAAACCGGGGCUAAUACCGAAUAAUCCAUUUUGCUUCAUGGCGAGAUGUUGAAAGACGGUUUCGGCUGUCACUAUAAGAUGGGCCCGCGGCGCAUUAGCUAGUUGGUAGGGUAAUGGCCUACUAAGGCGACGAUGCGUAGCCGACCUGAGAGGGUGAUCGGCCACACUGGGACUGAGACACGGCCCAGACUCCUACGGGAGGCAGCAGUAGGGAAUCUUCCACAAUGGACGAAAGUCUGAUGGAGCAACGCCGCGUGAGUGAAGAAGGUUUUCGGAUCGUGAAACUCUGUUGUAAGGGAAGAACACGUACGAGAGUAACUGCUCGUACCUUGACGGUACCUUAUUAGAAAGCCACGGCUAACUACGUG